This is a long non-coding RNA of Corticium candelabrum, 820 nucleotides long. RefSeq lists it as uncharacterized. Lineage: Eukaryota; Metazoa; Porifera; Homoscleromorpha; Homosclerophorida; Plakinidae. The transcript has 2 exons. The record is from RefSeq and is a predicted model, not a curated record.
GUCCUUCACAGCGGUCUGGGAGAGCAUCGAAAGCGCCGAAACGUUUCGACUUUAUCGAUCCCGACAUUUUCCUCAUUUUGGGAGAUGAAGAAGCUGGCGUCGAGAGUCUGAGCGUGCUUGAUUGUCGAGAUAACGACCCGGAGAUGGAUGAGAGCACAUUCACUAGUGUGCACAGCUUGCUUUUGUACUCUAGCUCAUCACGUGAACGGGGCUUGCUUGAUUCUCUGACUUUGCGUUUGCUCAGCUAUGAUGCAGAGCUUGUGUGAAUGGACUGUAUUAGAAUAUAUUACAGCAUGCCCCCUAUUAUGAGGGCAUGCUUACACAGAGCUGUAAUGAAGAGUCAAGGAUGACGGACUUUGAUAGUUGAAGAGCCUAUGCUCUUUCUUGCGUGGACAAUUUAAUCUCACUUGUUAUCUGAUGGUUUCGGUAAUUUUUUGUUUGCUUCUCCAGAAUGUCUGCAAUUGUGCAGUUGUCAGUAGGUACUCCUUUCUCCACAGACCUGUUACUUGCUUAAUUGUGAUGAGUGGCAUAUGGUGUACCGUUAUCCGGUAUCUAGUUGUACAUGGGAUAGAUUGCAUUGAUAGAUUGCAUUUUGGGAGGUGGCUAUAAUGUGGCAUUUGUACAACUUGGUGUGGACUGUGCUGCAUGUGAAGCCACGUUGUUGUAAAUGUUUAUUGUCUCUAAAGCUAAGUAAACAGAUACUCUUCCAGCAGUUUGAAUCUGGAAAGAUGCAAACAAAAAGCUAGGCAGUUUCAUGGUUAAUUUGAAACAGAAUAUUAAUGUAGGCAUGGCAGCUGGAAUCUAUUUCAAACCUAGAAGU